Molecule: small RNA, 26 nt
Filed under: Sinorhizobium meliloti 2011
Lineage: Bacteria; Pseudomonadati; Pseudomonadota; Alphaproteobacteria; Hyphomicrobiales; Rhizobiaceae
Description: putative ncRNA
Source: RNAcentral
ACGCUCAUAUGCGGGUAGAGUGCAUA